Molecule: ribosomal RNA, 460 nt
Filed under: uncultured bacterium
Lineage: Bacteria
Description: partial 16S ribosomal RNA
Rfam family: Bacterial small subunit ribosomal RNA
Source: RNAcentral
CCUACGGGCGGCAGCAGUGAGGAAUAUUGGUCAAUGGGCGUAAGCCUGAACCAGCCAAGUCGCGUGAGGGAUGAAGGUUCUAUGGAUCGUAAACCUCUUUUAUAAGGGAAUAAAGUGUGGGACGUGUCCUAUUUUGUAUGUACCUUAUGAAUAAGGCUCGGCUAACUCCGUGCCAGCAGCCGCGGUAAUACGGAGGAUCCGAGCGUUAUCCGGAUUUAUUGGGUUUAAAGGGUGCGUAGGCGGCCUUUUAAGUCAGCGGUGAAAGUCUGUGGCUCAACCAUAGAAUUGCCGUUGAAACUGGGGGUCUUGAGUAUGUUUGAGGCAGGUGGAAUGCGUGGUGUAGCGGUGAAAUGCGUAGAGAUCACGCAGAACCCCGAUUGCGAAGGCGGCCUGCCAGGCCAUGACUGACGCUGAUGCACGAAAGCGUGGGGAUCAAACAGGAUUAGAUACCCCAGUAGUC